GCGCUGCUGAGGAGUCCCACAAUAGGACGAAACAGUCGUCCGGUGC
Non-coding RNA from Schistosoma mattheei, 46 nucleotides. The record is from Rfam. NCBI's taxonomy places the organism in Eukaryota, Metazoa, Platyhelminthes, Trematoda, Strigeidida, Schistosomatidae.